Molecule: transfer RNA, 76 nt
Filed under: Clostridia bacterium
Lineage: Bacteria; Bacillati; Bacillota; Clostridia
Description: tRNA-Arg
Rfam family: tRNA
About the family: Transfer RNA (tRNA) molecules are approximately 80 nucleotides in length. Their secondary structure includes four short double-helical elements and three loops (D, anti-codon, and T loops). Further hydrogen bonds mediate the characteristic L-shaped molecular structure. tRNAs have two regions of fundamental functional importance: the anti-codon, which is responsible for specific mRNA codon recognition, and the 3' end, to which the tRNAs corresponding amino acid is attached (by aminoacyl-tRNA synthetases). tRNAs cope with the degeneracy of the genetic code in two manners: having more than one tRNA (with a specific anti-codon) for a particular amino acid; and 'wobble' base-pairing, i.e. permitting non-standard base-pairing at the 3rd anti-codon position.
Source: RNAcentral
UGCGCCAGUAGCUCAGCCGGAUAGAGCAUGUGCCUUCUAAGCACAGGGCCGGGGGUUCGAGUCCCUUCUGGCGCGA